Molecule: ribosomal RNA, 601 nt
Filed under: Micromonospora sp. I07A-01874
Lineage: Bacteria; Bacillati; Actinomycetota; Actinomycetes; Micromonosporales; Micromonosporaceae
Description: bacterial SSU rRNA
Rfam family: Bacterial small subunit ribosomal RNA
Source: RNAcentral
CUUCGGGGUACUCGAGCGGCGAACGGGUGAGUAACACGUGAGUAACCUGCCCUAGGCUUUGGGAUAACCCUCGGAAACGGGGGCUAAUACCGGAUAUGACUUCCUGUCGCAUGGUGGGGAGUGGAAAGUUUUUCGGCCUGGGAUGGACUCGCGGCCUAUCAGCUUGUUGGUGGGGUAAUGGCCUACCAAGGCGACGACGGGUAGCCGGCCUGAGAGGGCGACCGGCCACACUGGGACUGAGACACGGCCCAGACUCCUACGGGAGGCAGCAGUGGGGAAUAUUGCACAAUGGGCGAAAGCCUGAUGCAGCGACGCCGCGUGAGGGAUGACGGCCUUCGGGUUGUAAACCUCUUUCAGCAGGGACGAAGCGUAAGUGACGGUACCUGCAGAAGAAGCGCCGGCCAACUACGUGCCAGCAGCCGCGGUAAGACGUAGGGCGCGAGCGUUGUCCGGAUUUAUUGGGCGUAAAGAGCUCGUAGGCGGCUUGUCGCGUCGACUGUGAAAACCCGCAGCUCAACUGCGGGCCUGCAGUCGAUACGGGCAGGCUAGAGUUCGGUAGGGGAGACUGGAAUUCCUGGUGUAGCGGUGGAAUGCGCAGAUA